UAUCUUCGACGCUUUUCCA
This 19-nucleotide unclassified non-coding RNA is filed under the name Mus musculus (house mouse). RNAcentral's name for it is "oocyte_clustered_small_RNA7416". The record is from RNAcentral. Lineage: Eukaryota; Metazoa; Chordata; Mammalia; Rodentia; Muridae.